UCGAACGAGCGAGAGAGAGCUUGCUUUCUCGAGCGAGUGGCGAACGGGUGAGUAACGCGUGAGGAACCUGCCUCAAAGAGGGGGACAACAGUUGGAAACGACUGCUAAUACCGCAUAAGCCCACGGGUCGGCAUCGACCAGAGGGAAAAGGAGUGAUCCGCUUUGAGAUGGCCUCGCGUCCGAUUAGCUAGUUGGUGAGGUAACGGCCCACCAAGGCGACGAUCGGUGGCCGGACUGAGAGGUUGAACGGCCACAUUGGGACUGAGACACGGCCCAGACUCCUACGGGAGGCAGCAGUGGGGAAUAUUGCACAAUGGGGGAGACCCUGAUGCAGCGACGCCGCGUGGAGGAAGAAGGUCUUCGGAUUGUAAACUCCUGUUGUUGGGGAAGAUAAUGACGGUACCCAACAAGGAAGUGACGGCUAACUACGUGCCAGCAGCCGCGGUAAAACGUAGGUCACAAGCGUUGUCCGGAAUUACUGGGUGUAAAGGGAGCGCAGGCGGGAAGACAAGUUGGAAGUGAAAUCCAUGGGCUCAACCCAUGAACUGCUUUCAAAACUGUUUUUCUUGAGUAGUGCAGAGGUAGGCGGAAUUCCCGGUGUAGCGGUGGAAUGCGUAGAUAUCGGGAGGAACACCAGUGG
This 640-nucleotide ribosomal RNA is filed under the name uncultured bacterium. Its description in RNAcentral is "bacterial SSU rRNA". It matches the Rfam family "Bacterial small subunit ribosomal RNA", at positions 62 to 715 of the family's 1533-position model. The record is from RNAcentral.